This 568-nucleotide long non-coding RNA is filed under the name Rattus norvegicus (Norway rat). RNAcentral's name for it is "long non-coding RNA NONRATT018863". The record is from RNAcentral. Lineage: Eukaryota; Metazoa; Chordata; Mammalia; Rodentia; Muridae.
AGUGGGGAGAUUCACACGUUCUAAGAAGGCUUGAAACUCUUUGGGGAUUAUCAACAGUAUUUAAAGGAAGGCAAUGGGACUGAGGUUUGGGGGAGAAGUUCUAACUGAUGGCCUUGUCUGCCUAACCCCUACCCUUUCCUCCCAUUACAACAUCUCCCACAGCAAGUCCCACAGCGGCACCAUGAAAGCCUGGGCUUUCCUUCCAUGAGCCAGGAGCCCGCUGGUCAAAGCCUCUGAUCAAAGCCUCUCCCUGCACAGGGGUGCACUGUGCACUGCAUGUGCCCUGGGGCAUUCCGGAGGGGCACUUGGAGGCCAGCCCUGUGGCCUGUCUGCUUCCAGCUUCCUUCACAGAGAUGACUGGAGAACUGCUGGUUUAGUAGAUCCUGACCUCUCUAUUAGAUAUCUAAACCCACUCUGGCCUUAGAGAUGCUGGGCAGUUUUGCCCACUCUAAGAAACCUUUCACAAGGCUCCUUACUCCUUUACUCCGUGUACUCUGUAAAAAUAGUCUGCUUGCUUUUUCUGUAACUCCUGCAAAGUGUUUCAUCAUUUUAAAAAGGAAAAAGAAAA